UGGCGGCGUGCUUAACACAUGCAAGUCGAACGAUGAAGCCUUUCGGGGUGGAUUAGUGGCGAACGGGUGAGUAACACGUGGGCAAUCUGCCCUUCACUCUGGGACAAGCCCUGGAAACGGGGUCUAAUACCGGAUAAUACUUCUGCCUGCAUGGGUGGGGGUUGAAAGCUCCGGCGGUGAAGGAUGAGCCCGCGGCCUAUCAGCUUGUUGGUGGGGUAAUGGCCUACCAAGGCGACGACGGGUAGCCGGCCUGAGAGGGCGACCGGCCACACUGGGACUGAGACACGGCCCAGACUCCUACGGGAGGCAGCAGUGGGGAAUAUUGCACAAUGGGCGAAAGCCUGAUGCAGCGACGCCGCGUGAGGGAUGACGGCCUUCGGGUUGUAAACCUCUUUCAGCAGGGAAGAAGCGCAAGUGACGGUACCUGCAGAAGAAGCGCCGGCUAACUACGUGCCAGCAGCCGCGGUAAUACGUAGGGCGCAAGCGUUGUCCGGAAUUAUUGGGCGUAAAGAGCUCGUAGGCGGCUUGUCACGUCGGAUGUGAAAGCCCGGGGCUUAACCCCGGGUCUGCAUUCGAUACGGGCUAGCUAGAGUGUGGUAGGGGAGAUCGGAAUUCCUGGUGUAGCGGUGAAAUGCGCAGAUAUCAGGAGGAACACCGGUGGCGAAGGCGGAUCUCUGGGCCAUUACUGACGCUGAGGAGCGAAAGCGUGGGGAGCGAACAGGAUUAGAUACCCUGGUAGUCCACGCCGUAAACGUUGGGAACUAGGUGUUGGCGACAUUCCACGUCGUCGGUGCCGCAGCUAACGCAUUAAGUUCCCCGCCU
Molecule: ribosomal RNA, 822 nt
Filed under: Streptomyces sp. Sp080513GE-21
Lineage: Bacteria; Bacillati; Actinomycetota; Actinomycetes; Kitasatosporales; Streptomycetaceae
Description: bacterial SSU rRNA
Rfam family: Bacterial small subunit ribosomal RNA
Source: RNAcentral